AUGUGGUGCAGACACACAGCGGGAUGUGACUCGGACGUAAGAGACAGUGGACUCUUCCCAUUUGCGAUGACGUGGACGGAGCGAGAGAGUAUGACGCUAAGUCAGACACAGAAACACACAUACUACAUGACUUCGCUCGUAUGUGGAAUGGAAGAAACAAAACAAAGGAGCAAAGGGAAAAAGAGAGAGAGAGAGAGAGCAGCAGACCAAGAAAGAGACUCUUCACUACAGGGAACGCACUGCUGGUCACCGAAGGGGAGAUGACUGUAGUUACAAAGUAGAGUCGACUUUGACAUCCAGUAGAAGGACAAUAGUGUGACAUCAGCCUUCGAUGGACGUUCCCCAUGAACACACAAGACCUAUUCCCAGAACAGAUGGCAUGCAUAACAAGGAAGAGACACGUGAUCCUGUGUUGGAAGAAGAAGCCAACUGGAAGAGAAAGGUGAGAAAGAACCAUGAUAGGACAAUUUAGUGAAACGUUCUUUCCCAGAGCACACUUUUGCUGCUGGGGUGGAUGGGAUCACAGCUGUUUUUAGACAGCAGAGUCCAAGAGAAAAGUUAUCCUGGGCUUCCUUUGCCAUCUGAGAAAAUGCAACCAGCUGCAGUCACUAAUCUGUUACACAGUAAAG
Molecule: long non-coding RNA, 629 nt
Filed under: Mustela putorius furo (domestic ferret)
Lineage: Eukaryota; Metazoa; Chordata; Mammalia; Carnivora; Mustelidae
Description: lncRNA (ENSMPUG00000026742.1)
Source: RNAcentral